AUUGAACGCUGGCGGCAUGCUUUACACAUGCAAGUCGAACGGUAACAGGGACUUCGGUCUGCUGACGAGUGGCGAACGGGUGAGUAACAUAUCGGAACGUGCCCAGUAAUGGGGGAUAGCUCGGCGAAAGCCGGAUUAAUACCGCAUACGCCCUGAGGGGGAAAGUGGGGGAUCUUCGGACCUCACGUUAUUGGAGCGGCCGAUAUCGGAUUAGCUAGUUGGUGGGGUAAAGGCCUACCAAGCCGACGAUCUGUAGCUGGUCUGAGAGGACGACCAGCCACACUGGGACUGAGACACGGCCCAGACUCCUACGGGAGGCAGCAGUGGGGAAUUUUGGACAAUGGGCGCAAGCCUGAUCCAGCCAUGCCGCGUGCGGGAAGAAGGCCU
Molecule: ribosomal RNA, 387 nt
Filed under: uncultured bacterium
Lineage: Bacteria
Description: bacterial SSU rRNA
Rfam family: Bacterial small subunit ribosomal RNA
Source: RNAcentral